GCGCGAGUAGCUCAGCUGGAUAGAGUACCAGGCUACGAACCUGUUGGUCGGGGGUUCGAAUCCCUCCUCGCGCGCCA
Molecule: transfer RNA, 77 nt
Filed under: Myxococcales bacterium
Lineage: Bacteria; Pseudomonadati; Myxococcota; Myxococcia; Myxococcales
Also listed under: 1 other name
Description: tRNA-Arg
Rfam family: tRNA
About the family: Transfer RNA (tRNA) molecules are approximately 80 nucleotides in length. Their secondary structure includes four short double-helical elements and three loops (D, anti-codon, and T loops).
Source: RNAcentral